This 393-nucleotide ribosomal RNA is filed under the name uncultured bacterium. RNAcentral's name for it is "bacterial SSU rRNA". It matches the Rfam family "Bacterial small subunit ribosomal RNA", at positions 29 to 417 of the family's 1533-position model. The record is from RNAcentral.
AAUGAACGCUGGCGGCGUGGUUAAGACAUGCAAGUCGAGGGGCAGCACGGGGGCAACCCUGGUGGCGACCGGCAAACGGGUGCGGAACACGUACGCAACCUUCCCAUAACAGGUGAAUAGCCUUUCGAAAGAGAGAUUAAUACACCGUAACAUAAUGAAGAGGCAUCUCUUUAUUAUUAUAGGCAGCAAUGUCGGUUUUGGAUGGGCGUGCGCCUGAUUAGGUAGUUGGCGGGGAACGGCCCACCAAGCCUGCGAUCAGUAACUGGUGUGAGAGCACGACCAGUCACACGGGCACUGAGACACGGGCCCGACUCCUACGGGAGGCAGCAGUAGGGAAUCUUCCACAAUGGACGAAAGUCUGAUGGAGCAACGCCGCGUGAGCGAUGAAGGCCU